UACGGAAGGCAGCAGUGGGGAAUAUUGCACAAUGGGCGCAAGCCUGAUGCAGCCAUGCCGCGUGUAUGAAGAAGGCCUUCGGGUUGUAAAGUACUUUCAGUCGUGAGGAAGGUGUUAAGGUUAAUAACCUUAGCAAUUGACGUUAGCGACAGAAGAAGCACCGGCUAACUCCGUGCCAGCAGCCGCGGUAAUACGGAGGGUGCGAGCGUUAAUCGGAAUUACUGGGCGUAAAGGGCACGCAGGCGGUUAAUAAGUUGGAUGUGAAAUCCCCGGGCUUAACCUGGGAAUGGCAUUCAAGACUGGUUAGCUAGAGUCUUGUAGAGGGGGUAGGAAUUCCAUGUGUAGCGGUGAAAUGCGUAGAGAUGUGGAGGAAUACCGGUGGCGAAGGCGGCCCCUGGGACAAAGACUGACGCUCAUGUGCGAAAGCGUGGGGAGCAAACAGGAUUAGAUACC
Molecule: ribosomal RNA, 453 nt
Filed under: uncultured bacterium
Lineage: Bacteria
Description: bacterial SSU rRNA
Rfam family: Bacterial small subunit ribosomal RNA
Source: RNAcentral